This 446-nucleotide ribosomal RNA is filed under the name uncultured bacterium. RNAcentral describes it as "partial 16S ribosomal RNA". It matches the Rfam family "Bacterial small subunit ribosomal RNA", at positions 338 to 795 of the family's 1533-position model. The record is from RNAcentral.
CCUACGGGAGGCAGCAGUCGAGAAUCAUUCACAAUGGGGGAAACCCUGAUGGUGCGACGCUGCGUGGGGGAAUGAAGGUCUUCGGAUUGUAAACCCCUGUCAUGUGGGAGCAAAUUAAAAAGAUAGUACCACAAGAGGAAGAGACGGCUAACUCUGUGCCAGCAGCCGCGGUAAUACAGCGGUCUCAAGCGUUGUUCGGAAUCACUGGGCGUAAAGCGUGCGUAGGCUGUUUCGUAAGUCGUGUGUGAAAGGCGCGGGCUCAACCCGCGGACGGCACAUGAUACUGCGAGACUAGAGUAGUGGAGGGGGAACCGGAAUUCUCGGUGUAGCAGUGAAAUGCGUAGAUAUCGAGAGGAACACUCGUGGCGAAGGCGGGUUCCUGGACAUUAACUGACGCUGAGGCACGAAGGCCAGGGGAGCGAAAGGGAUUAGAUACCCCUGUAGUC